GCACUUUAAGCAGUGAAGAAGACUCCGUGGUUAAUACCCACGGACGAUGACAUUAGCUGCAGAAUAAGCACCGGCUAACUCUGUGCCAGCAGCCGCGGUAAUACAGAGGGUGCAAGCGUUAAUCGGAAUUACUGGGCGUAAAGGGAGCGUAGGUGGCUCUAUAAGUCAGAUGUGAAAUCCCCGGGCUCAACCUGGGAACUGCAUCUGAAACUGUAGAGCUAGAGUAUGUGAGAGGAAGGUAGAAUUCCAGGUGUAGCGGUGAAAUGCGUAGAGAUCUGGAGGAAUACCGAUGGCGAAGGCAGCCUUCUGGCAUAAUACUGACACUGAGGCUCGAAAGCGUGGGUAGCAAACAGGAUUAGAUACCCUGGUAGUCCACGCCGUAAACGAUGUCUACUAGUCGUUGG
This 404-nucleotide ribosomal RNA is filed under the name uncultured bacterium. Its description in RNAcentral is "bacterial SSU rRNA". It matches the Rfam family "Bacterial small subunit ribosomal RNA", at positions 430 to 826 of the family's 1533-position model. The record is from RNAcentral.